CAGGUAGGAAUACCCGCUGAACUUAAGCAUAUCAAUAG
RNAcentral lists this ribosomal RNA (38 nucleotides) under Monochaetia karstenii. RNAcentral's name for it is "partial 28S ribosomal RNA". The record is from RNAcentral. Lineage: Eukaryota; Fungi; Ascomycota; Sordariomycetes; Amphisphaeriales; Sporocadaceae.